This 387-nucleotide unclassified non-coding RNA is filed under the name uncultured Verrucomicrobiae bacterium. Its description in RNAcentral is "contains 16S-23S intergenic spacer region". The record is from RNAcentral. Lineage: Bacteria; Pseudomonadati; Verrucomicrobiota; Verrucomicrobiia.
UCCUCGUUUAAGCGAGGCAGUCUGUCCAGAGUGCUCCAGCCUCUCGGCCGGGUGGUAACAGGACACAGGGGUUGCGCUCGUUGCGGGACUUAACCCAACAUCUCACGACACGAGCUGACAACAGCCAUGCGGCACCUGUGCAAGCUCCCCUUGCGGGGUCGUCCCUCUUUCAAGGUUCUACCACUUGCAUGUCAAGGCCAGGUAAGGUUCUUCGCGUUGCAUCGAAUUAAGCCACAUACUCCACCGCUUGUGCAGGCCCCCGUCAAUUUCUUUGAGUUUUAAUCUUGCGACCGUACUUCCCAGGCGGCACGUUUAACGCGUUAGCUUCGCCACGGACGGGGUCGAAUCCGCCCACAGCAAACGUGCACCGUUUACGGCUAGGACUAC